Molecule: ribosomal RNA, 253 nt
Filed under: uncultured bacterium
Lineage: Bacteria
Description: partial 16S ribosomal RNA
Rfam family: Bacterial small subunit ribosomal RNA
Source: RNAcentral
GACGGAGGAUGCAAGUGUUAUCCGGAAUCACUGGGCGUAAAGCGUCUGUAGGUGGUCAAAUAAGUCAACUGUUAAAUCUUGAGGCUCAACCUCAAAAUCGCAGUCGAAACUAUUAGACUAGAGUAUAGUAGGGGUAAAGGGAAUUUCCAGUGGAGCGGUGAAAUUCGUAGAUAUUCGGAAGAACACCAGUGGCGAAGGCGACUAACUGGACAUGUAUUGACGCUGAGGUGCGAAAGCGUGGGGAGCAAACAGG